This is a regulatory RNA element of Loxodonta africana (African savanna elephant), 60 nucleotides long. It matches the Rfam family "Selenocysteine insertion sequence 1". Rfam says of the family: The incorporation of selenocysteine into a protein sequence is directed by an in-frame UGA codon (usually a stop codon) within the coding region of the mRNA. The record is from Rfam. Lineage: Eukaryota; Metazoa; Chordata; Mammalia; Proboscidea; Elephantidae.
ACUGCCCCAUGACAGCUGGGUCUGAAAUCCUAGAUGGACCCAGUUUGAUGUCUUUGCAGU